ACGCUGGCGGCAGGCUUAACACAUGCAAGUCGAACGGUAACAGGAAUUAGCUUGCUAAUUUGCUGACGAGUGGCGGACGGGUGAGUAAUGCUUGGGAAUCUGGCUUAUGGAGGGGGAUAACUACGGGAAACUGUAGCUAAUACCGCGUAAAAUCUUCGGAUUAAAGGGUGGGACUUUCGAGCCACCUGCCAUAAGAUGAGCCCAAGUGGGAUUAGGUAGUUGGUUAGGUAAAGGCUGACCAAGCCGACGAUCUCUAGCUGGUCUGAGAGGAUGACCAGCCACACUGGAACUGAGACACGGUCCAGACUCCUACGGGAGGCAGCAGUGGGGAAUAUUGCACAAUGGGGGGAACCCUGAUGCAGCCAUGCCGCGUGAAUGAAGAAGGCCUUCGGGUUGUAAAGUUCUUUCGGUGACGAGGAAGGUUGAUAGGUUAAUAGCCUAUCAAAUUGACGUUAAUCACAGGAGAAGCACCGGCUAACUCCGUGCCAGCAGCCGCGGUAAUACGGGGGGUGCGAGCGUUAAUCGGAAUAACUGGGCGUAAAGGGCACGCAGGCGGUGACUUAAGUGAGAUGUGAAAGCCCCGAGCUUAACUUGGGAAUUGCAUUUCAUACUGGGUCGCUAGAGUACUUUAGGGAGGGGUAGAAUUCCACGUGUAGCGGUGAAAUGCGUAGAGAUGUGGAGGAAUACCGAAGGCGAAGGCAGCCCCUUGGGAAUGUACUGACGCUCAUGUGCGAAAGCGUGGGGAGCAAACAGGAUUAGAUACCCUGGUAGUCCACGCUGUAAACGAUGUCGAUUUGGGGAUUGGGCUUUGAGCUUGGUGCCCGUAGCUAACGUGAUAAAUCGACCGCCUGGGGAGUACGGCCGCAAGGUUAAAACUCAAAUGAAUUGACGGGGGCCCGCACAAGCGGUG
This 910-nucleotide ribosomal RNA is filed under the name uncultured bacterium. RNAcentral's name for it is "bacterial SSU rRNA". It matches the Rfam family "Bacterial small subunit ribosomal RNA", at positions 33 to 934 of the family's 1533-position model. The record is from RNAcentral.